Molecule: ribosomal RNA, 1203 nt
Filed under: metagenome
Description: bacterial SSU rRNA
Rfam family: Bacterial small subunit ribosomal RNA
Source: RNAcentral
CGAUCCGUAGCUGGUCUGAGAGGACGACCAGCCACACUGGAACUGAGACACGGUCCAGACUCCUACGGGAGGCAGCAGUGGGGAAUUUUGGACAAUGGGGGCAACCCUGAUCCAGCCAUGCCGCGUGGGUGAAGAAGGCCUUCGGGUUGUAAAGCCCUUUCGGCGGAGACGAAACGGUCCAUGCUAACACCAUGGACAACUGACGGUACCCGCAGAAGAAGCACCGGCUAACUACGUGCCAGCAGCCGUGGUAAUACGUAGGGUGCAGGCGUUAAUCGGAAUUACUGGGCGUAAAGCGUGCGCAGGCGGCUCUUUAAGUCAGAUGUGAAAUCCCCGGGCUUAACCUGGGAACUGCGUUUGAAACUGGAGGGCUAGAGUGUGGCAGAGGGGGGUGGAAUUCCAGGUGUAGCAGUGAAAUGCGUAGAUAUCUGGAGGAACACCGAUGGCGAAGACAGCCCCCUGGGCUAACACUGACGCUCAUGCACGAAAGCGUGGGGAGCAAACAGGAUUAGAUACCCUGGUAGUCCACGCCCUAAACUAUGUCAACUGGUUGUCGGGGAAGCAAUUCCUUGGUAACGAAGCUAACGCGUGAAGUUGACCGCCUGGGGAGUACGGCCGCAAGGUUAAAACUCGAAGGAAUUGACGGGGACCCGCACAAGCGGUGGAUUAUGUGGAUUAAUUCGAUGCAACGCGAAAAACCUUACCUACCCUUGACAUGUACGGAAGCCCGCAGAGAUGCGGGGGUGCCCGAAAGGGAACCGUAACACAGGUGCUGCAUGGCUGUCGUCAGCUCGUGUCGUGAGAUGUUGGGUUAAGUCCCGCAACGAGCGCAACCCUUGCCAUUAGUUGCUACAUUCAGUUGGGCACUCUAAUGGGACUGCCGGUGACAAACCGGAGGAAGGUGGGGAUGACGUCAAGUCCUCAUGGCCCUUAUGGGUAGGGCUUCACACGUAAUACAAUGGUCGGUACAGAGGGCUGCCAACCCGCGAGGGGGAGCAAAUCUCAGAAAGCCGAUCGUAGUCCGGAUUGCAGUCUGCAACUCGACUGCAUGAAGCCGGAAUCGCUAGUAAUCGCGGAUCAGCACGCCGCGGUGAAUACGUUCCCGGGUCUUGUACACACCGCCCGUCACACCAUGGGAGUGGGUUUCACCAGAAGUAGUUAGCCUAACCGCAAGGAGGGCGACUACCACGGUGAGAUUCAUGA